UAAUUGAAGAGUUUGAUCAUGGCUCAGAUUGAACGCUGGCGGCAGGCCUAACACAUGCAAGUCGAGCGGUAACAGAAAGAAAGCUUGCUUUCUUUGCUGACGAGCGGCGGACGGGUGAGUAAUGCCUGGGAAUAUACC
Photobacterium iliopiscarium is the source of this 138-nucleotide non-coding RNA. NCBI's taxonomy places the organism in Bacteria, Pseudomonadati, Pseudomonadota, Gammaproteobacteria, Vibrionales, Vibrionaceae. The record is from Rfam.